RNAcentral lists this ribosomal RNA (435 nucleotides) under uncultured bacterium. Its description in RNAcentral is "bacterial SSU rRNA". It matches the Rfam family "Bacterial small subunit ribosomal RNA", at positions 954 to 1386 of the family's 1533-position model. The record is from RNAcentral.
GCAUAACGCGAAGAACCUUACCAGGGCUUGACAUCCCUCUGAUCGGAUUAGAGAUAGUCCUUUCUCUUCGGAGACAGAGGAGACAGGUGGUGCAUGGUUGUCGUCAGCUCGUGUCGUGAGAUGUUGGGUUAAGUCCCGCAACGAGCGCAACCCUUGCCUUUAGUUGCCAUCAGGUAAAGCUGGGCACUCUAGAGGGACUGCCGGUGACAAACCGGAGGAAGGUGGGGAUGACGUCAAAUCAUCAUGCCCCUUAUGUCCUGGGCUACACACGUGCUACAAUGGUCGGUACAACGGGAAGCGAGACUGCGAAGUUUAGCCAAUCCCAAUAAGCCGAUCCCAGUUCGGAUUGUAGGCUGCAACUCGCCUACAUGAAGUCGGAGUUGCUAGUAAUCGCGAAUCAGCACGUCGCGGUGAAUGCGUUCCCGGGUCUUGUAC